CCUACGGGAGGCAGCAGUCGAGAAUCAUUCACAAUGGGGGAAACCCUGAUGGUGCGACGCCGCGUGGGGGAAUGAAGGUCUUCGGUUUGUAAACCCCUGUCAUGUGGACGCAAAUAAAAAAGAUAGUACCACAAGAGGAAGAGACGGCUAACUCUGUGCCAGCAGCGGCGGUAAUACAGAGGUCUCAAGCGUUGUUCGGAAUCACUGGGUGUAAAGGGGGCGUAGGCUGUUUCGUAAGUCGUGUGUGAAAGGCGCGGGCUCAACCCGCGGCCGGCAUAUGAUACUGCGCGACUAGAGUAAUGGAGGGGGAACCGGAAUUCUCGGUGUAGCAGUGAAAUGCGUAGAUAUCGAGAGGAACACUCGUGGCGAAGGCGGGUUCCUGGACAUUAACUGACGCUGAGGCACGAAGGCCAGGGGAGCGAAAGGGAUUAGAUACCCUUGUAGUC
This 446-nucleotide ribosomal RNA is filed under the name uncultured bacterium. Its description in RNAcentral is "partial 16S ribosomal RNA". It matches the Rfam family "Bacterial small subunit ribosomal RNA", at positions 338 to 795 of the family's 1533-position model. The record is from RNAcentral.